This 233-nucleotide long non-coding RNA is filed under the name Gossypium barbadense (sea-island cotton). Its description in RNAcentral is "long non-coding RNA (GBAR_LNC019055)". The record is from RNAcentral. Lineage: Eukaryota; Viridiplantae; Streptophyta; Magnoliopsida; Malvales; Malvaceae.
GACAAACUCACCUCUUCCUUAGGUGGAAGCCCCUUCGACGACUCACCAAGCUCAGACGUUGCCUUUCUUUUGACUCCGGCUUGCUUUGGACAGUUCCACAACUCAUGCGGACCACGGCACAAGAAGCACUUAACUCGCUUCUUUUUGCUCCUCUUUGCUCUCUUGGCUUCGGCUUUUCCCUUGCUCGAACCAAGCUUCUUGGGCUCCUUGUCUGCUCCAUCGUUCCCCUCGAU